AUUGAACGCUGGCGGCAUGCCUUACACAUGCAAGUCGAACGGCAGCACGGGUGCUUGCACCUGGUGGCGAGUGGCGAACGGGUGAGUAAUACAUCGGAACAUGUCCUGUAGUGGGGGAUAGCCCGGCGAAAGCCGGAUUAAUACCGCAUACGAUCUACGGAUGAAAGCGGGGGACCUUCGGGCCUCGCGCUAUAGGGUUGGCCGAUGGCUGAUUAGCUAGUUGGUGGGGUAAAGGCCUACCAAGGCGACGAUCAGUAGCUGGUCUGAGAGGACGACCAGCCACACUGGGACUGAGACACGGCCCAGACUCCUACGGGAGGCAGCAGUGGGGAAUUUUGGACAAUGGGCGAAAGCCUGAUCCAGCAAUGCCGCGUGUGUGAAGAAGGCCUUCGGGUUGUAAAGCACUUUUGUCCGGAAAGAAAUCCUUGGCUCUAAUACAGUCGGGGGAUGACGGUACCGGAAGAAUAAGCACCGGCUAACUACGUGCCAGCAGCCGCGGUAAUACGUAGGGUGCGAGCGUUAAUCGGAAUUACUGGGCGUAAAGCGUGCGCAGGCGGUUUGCUAAGACCGAUGUGAAAUCCCCGGGCUCAACCUGGGAACUGCAUUGGUGACUGGCAGGCUAGAGUAUGGCAGAGGGGGGUAGAAUUCCACGUGUAGCAGUGAAAUGCGUAGAGAUGUGGAGGAAUACCGAUGGCGAAGGCAGCCCCCUGGGCCAAUACUGACGCUCAUGCACGAAAGCGUGGGGAGCAAACAGGAUUAGAUACCCUGGUAGUCCACGCCCUAAACGAUGUCAACUAGUUGUUGGGGAUUCAUUUCCUUAGUAACGUAGCUAACGCGUGAAGUUGACCGCCUGGGGAGUACGGUCGCAAGAUUAAAACUCAAAGGAAUUGACGGGGACCCGCACAAGCGGUGGAUGAUGUGGAUUAAUUCGAUGCAACGCGAAAAACCUUACCUACCCUUGACAUGGUCGGAAUCCCGCUGAGAGGUGGGAGUGCUCGAAAGAGAACCGGCGCACAGGUGCUGCAUGGCUGUCGUCAGCUCGUGUCGUGAGAUGUUGGGUUAAGUCCCGCAACGAGCGCAACCCUUGUCCUUAGUUGCUACGCAAGAGCACUCUAAGGAGACUGCCGGUGACAAACCGGAGGAAGGUGGGGAUGACGUCAAGUCCUCAUGGCCCUUAUGGGUAGGGCUUCACACGUCAUACAAUGGUCGGAACAGAGGGUUGCCAACCCGCGAGGGGGAGCUAAUCCCAGAAAACCGAUCGUAGUCCGGAUUGCACUCUGCAACUCGAGUGCAUGAAGCUGGAAUCGCUAGUAAUCGCGGAUCAGCAUGCCGCGGUGAAAACGUUCCCGGGUCU
Molecule: ribosomal RNA, 1354 nt
Filed under: uncultured bacterium
Lineage: Bacteria
Description: bacterial SSU rRNA
Rfam family: Bacterial small subunit ribosomal RNA
Source: RNAcentral